GACGAACGCUGGCGGCGUGCCUAAUACAUGCAAGUCGAGCGAGCUUGCCUAGAUGAUUUUAGUGCUUGCACUAAAUGAAACUAGAUACAAGCGAGCGGCGGACGGGUGAGUAACACGUGGGUAACCUGCCCAAGAGACUGGGAUAACACCUGGAAACAGAUGCUAAUACCGGAUAACAACACUAGACGCAUGUCUAGAGUUUGAAAGAUGGUUCUGCUAUCACUCUUGGAUGGACCUGCGGUGCAUUAGCUAGUUGGUAAGGUAACGGCUUACCAAGGCAAUGAUGAAUGGCCGAGUUGGGAGACGGAUCGGCCAACUUGGGACUGAGAAACGGCCCAAACUCCAACGGGGGGCAGCAGGAGGGAAUCUGCCACAAUGGACGAAAGUCUGAGGGAGCAACGCCGGGGGGGUGAAGAAGGGUUUCGGCUCGUAAAGCUUUUUUGGUAGUGAAGAAAGAUAGGGGUAGUAACUGGCUUUUAUUUGGCGGUAAUUACUUAGAAAGUCGCGGCUAACUACGU
Molecule: ribosomal RNA, 518 nt
Filed under: uncultured bacterium
Lineage: Bacteria
Description: partial 16S ribosomal RNA
Rfam family: Bacterial small subunit ribosomal RNA
Source: RNAcentral